Molecule: ribosomal RNA, 253 nt
Filed under: uncultured bacterium
Lineage: Bacteria
Description: partial 16S ribosomal RNA
Rfam family: Bacterial small subunit ribosomal RNA
Source: RNAcentral
UACGAAGGGGGCUAGCGUUGCUCGGAAUCACUGGGCGUAAAGCGCACGUAGGCGGCUUUUUAAGUCAGGGGUGAAAUCCUGGAGCUCAACUCCAGAACUGCCUUUGAUACUGAGAAGCUUGAGUCCGGGAGAGGUGAGUGGAACUGCGAGUGUAGAGGUGAAAUUCGUAGAUAUUCGCAAGAACACCAGUGGCGAAGGCGGCUCACUGGCCCGGUACUGACGCUGAGGCACGAAAGCGUGGGGAGGAAACAGG